UACGUAGGUGGCAAGCGUUGUCCGGAUUUACUGGGCGUAAAGAGCGCGCAGGCGGUCGUUCAAGUCGCGUGUGAAAGCCCCCGGCUCAACUGGGGAGGGUCACGCGAUACUGAUCGACUGGAAGGCAGGAGAGGGUAGUGGAAUUCCCGGUGUAGCGGUGAAAUGCGCAGAUAUCGGGAGGAACACCGGUGGCGAAGGCGGCUCUCUGGGCCUGUCCUGACGCUCAGGCGCGAAAGCUAGGGGAGCAAACAGG
Molecule: ribosomal RNA, 253 nt
Filed under: uncultured bacterium
Lineage: Bacteria
Description: partial 16S ribosomal RNA
Rfam family: Bacterial small subunit ribosomal RNA
Source: RNAcentral